This is a long non-coding RNA of Girardinichthys multiradiatus, 779 nucleotides long. RefSeq lists it as uncharacterized. NCBI's taxonomy places the organism in Eukaryota, Metazoa, Chordata, Actinopteri, Cyprinodontiformes, Goodeidae. The record is from RefSeq and is a predicted model, not a curated record. The transcript has 4 exons.
AAAAAGCUUAGCUCCUGUGGCUGUGAGCCAUGACAGAUAACAAGCUUCAAUGAGUAGCUUUAGUUUAUAACAUGCUCCAUUUAAUUGUCGGUAACAGUGACGCCGUUGAAACGAUUACUCUUUCUUGAAAAAGAUUAACGUUAUGGAGUGGCCAACCUCAUCUCUGGACCUUAAUCCAGCAGAAAACCUGUGGAUUGGAAUCAAACAUGUAGACCAACCAUCUACAUACAGUCAGGAGGAUUGCUUCCACCUGCUCCUGCCCUUCCAGAUCCCUAAUCACCUCACCUGUGCUCCUGCCUUUUUAAGCAGCUUUCUGUCAGACAAACAUUGCCAGAUUUUCAAAAGCGUUUGUGUCGGAUACUUCAUUGGCUUCUGCUUUCUGGACAGACGACUUUGCUUCUGCCUCCUGACCAACCCUCUCUGCCUAACCUUUGACCUCGCUUCUGUGCCCCGACCCACGAUUCAAGCCUCUCCCUUGGAUCCUGUUGCGUGAUUCUGUCCUCCCGGCUCUGACCCAGUUUCCGUCCCCUGACCACGACCUUCUGCUCAGUCACUGGGUUUGCAAACCUGACAGCCAGUGUGACGUAGCCCUGCUGCCUCCUAACAAUCACACUGAGGAGCCGAAAAUCAGUUUCCUGAUCCUCUCACGGAUUCUGAGUUUUGCUAUAUUCUUAGUUCUUCGCUCAGCCACUAACCAGUCUCUCUGUCUCCAGAUGUUCAUGUGCCUACCGCUGGUGGUUUCCUGCCGAACGCCUUCCGGAAAGAUCAAUAAAUCUUUU